UGGUGGAGCGAUUUGUCUGGUCAAUUCCGAUAACGAACGAGACUCUAGCCUACUAAAUAGUUCGGGGACCCCCACAAAGGGGCCCCGCUUCAACUUCUUAGAGG
Molecule: ribosomal RNA, 104 nt
Filed under: uncultured eukaryote
Lineage: Eukaryota
Description: partial 18S ribosomal RNA
Rfam family: Eukaryotic small subunit ribosomal RNA
Source: RNAcentral